This 713-nucleotide long non-coding RNA is filed under the name Ananas comosus (pineapple). RNAcentral's name for it is "long non-coding RNA (ACOM_LNC022075)". The record is from RNAcentral. Lineage: Eukaryota; Viridiplantae; Streptophyta; Magnoliopsida; Poales; Bromeliaceae.
AAUUUUAAAUUUAUUUUUUUAACUUUAAAUUUUAAAUUUAUUUUUUAAAUUUUAAAUUUAAAAUUCUAAAUUCUAAAUUUCAAAUUUUAAUUUUUUAUUUUAAAAUUUUAAAUUUAAAAAUUAAAUUUAGAUUUUUAUAUUUUAAAUUUUAAAUUUUUAAAUUCCAAAUUUGAAAAUUUAAAAUUUAAAAUUCAAAAUUUCACAUUUCACAUAUCAAAUUUUAAAUUUUAAAUUUUUUUUUGAAAUUUUAAAUUUUAAAUUUUAACUUUUAAUUUUAAAAUUUAGAAAAAUCCCGUAAAAUUGCACCAUGCGUAUCCAAACAGUUUAAAAAUUGAAUCUGUGGAAUUUUUAAGAGUUGCAGGAUUCUCUAUUUUAUAUAGGCCAAAACCACAGUUUAUAAAUUCCGUAGAAAUUUUUUACUGUACAUCCAAACAGGCCCUUAUUCUAUUAAUUUAGUACUGAAGAUGAGAGAGAGAAUAUGAGUUUGGAUUUGAAUUUUAUGAAAGAUACAUAUUUUGUACACCACUUUAAUUAUAAUGAAGAUAUCCACUCCGUUUUCGCCCAUAGACGUAGGCCGGUGGCUGAACCACGUAAAUAUUAUGUGCUUUAUUUUUUCUUCUCUCAUUUUCGAUUCUCUUUUGGUAUUUUCGCAUCCGACAAACUAGAUCUUUUUGGUUUUAGUUCUAACAGUUUUCAUCUACAAAACAUUACCU